Molecule: long non-coding RNA, 1131 nt
Organism: Serinus canaria (Common canary)
Lineage: Eukaryota; Metazoa; Chordata; Aves; Passeriformes; Fringillidae
Exons: 4
Source: RefSeq, a predicted model, not a curated record
UGAAGAGUUUUCUGCUGCAGAAGAGUAGUGAUUGCCCCAGCCAUCAGAGUCGUCAUUCGUGUCCGUGAGCUUGCAUUUUAGAAGCUGCAUAAACUUCAUCUACAAAUGCAGUUGCCAAGUUGCCGCAAUAGAGGAGUGCCAAGAUUCUUCAGCACCAGCCAGGCACAUACAAGUAAUCCUGCUUUUGGAAGAACACACUACAGAUGUCAUUACUGCAUAUUUCAACCUUAAACUUACUGAAAUUGGAAGUGGUGCAUCUGAGAUGAGUUGAUGUUCAACAGCAAAGGCAUUGGUCUGGAAAUGGUCUCUGGGAUGACUCACUUUUCUGAGGGUUAACAACAGGAGACAAGAAUUCAAGAUGGGAUUUACUUUUUGGUUAAGGAGUAAUGGGAGAAGACAACAGUCGGGAGUUUCAGUUCCUCACACAUUCUCAGGCAGACUUGGUCAAAAAAUAAGAAGCCAGAUUAUGGCCACCAAAAGCUAGCAUUUUCCCCAGAAUGCUCAUCAAAUAUUUAAGUACCAAGAACAAAAUCAAGAGUUACACAUGGGGACUUCACAUCUAUCCUUUGGAGAAUAAUUUGCUAAAACCUGCAAUUCAGUCUAGAUUGAGUCAGAUUUUUCUCCCUACAAAAGCAUCUACACUUAGAGACUGGCAAUUGCGUAAUUUACUGGGUGGCAGACAAUUAAAUCCUUGCCAGACUGGCUGAAAAUUUUAGUUCAGAAAGAGGUGCUGCACUCCCCUCGUAUUUGUAUCUAUGGCCAUAAACUACGAUCUGUUCACCAUCAAUCCUGAAUUUUGCACGCAACAAUAAGACGGUCUGAAUUAGUGUGGUGCAACAUGGAGAAGGGCAACCAAAGGAGUAUGAAAGAAAAGCAAUCAACAAGACAGUUGAGAAACAGGAAGCUGAAAGCAGACCAUCAUUUUAAGCUGCUAUUUACAUUUUUUUAAAUCUUUGUGCAAAGGAUAUGAACUUCAGUCCUAGGACUAGAAAAGAGUACAGCAUGGUAAAAGAUAAAGGAGUUCUCAACAAUAAAGCCCCAAGUCUCUCUUCACAGAAGCCUCGCAUUCCUGUCUCAAAUAAUAAAAUAGUCAUCAACUACUCUACUGGUUUAGAGUUGUAGAAUAAAUUU